AAAAAAUACGUCAUAUUAUAAUUUAAGACGUAAAUCUUUUGAAUUCAAUAUUGGUGAUAUAGUGUAUAAACGUGCUUACGUUCUGAGCGAUAAGGAUAAGCACUUUAGUAAGAAGUUAGCUCCCAAAUACAUUAAAUGCCGGGUCAUUCAAAAGCUGUCACCACUUGUAUAUGUCUUGGAAGACAUGUCCGGUAAAAAUUUAGGGUCUUGGCAUAUUAAGGACUUGAAAAUUUCUACCUUAAAAUAAACACGAUCUUUGUUACGUUUCCCCUUUCACUAUUAAACUUUUAAGAUCUGUUACCAAAGUUAGUGACGACUAAUAGUCGCUUGAUUUUUUUGGUAUGGUAGGACACGUCGCAUGAUUAUAAUAUCGUGUGAUGUCUGGUAUGAUUGGUUUUGAGAGGUGAGGCAUGAUUGAAAUGAAAGUAUGAAUAAAAGGGUAUGGUAACGAGUUUGUCAUGCGGAUUUUAUUUUUAAAAUAAAAUCCUUAUGAGGGACCGGGGGUAAUGUAACGGAACGUUACAUGAUUUGCAAAUGCUAGUCUUUGUUUGUGCGCGGGUUAGGAACGCGCGGAAUGAACGGAACGAAGGGUUUUGAUCGAUGCAGCGGCGGGCGUGAGCGCAGCGCCGGAUUGACAUUCGCUCGCUGGUCGCUUCUAGACUGGUGUGUGCGUUGACCUCCAACCAAAUUCCGUCGUGGCAAGCGCCCUAGCAGACACGGCCGUUUAAUUUUGAAAAUUAAUUUUAUUAAAUCAAGUGAUUCAGUAUAUUUGUUGUGUGGAAAUCCCGAAUUAGGGUUUUUCCACCCGGCUAUAAGACGCCAGCAGCAGCAGCCUCGUGUUCGGUUUGUUACGAGCCGAGGUGUCGCCGUCGCGAUAGCUUCGUGCAGCACCGCGUGCACGUCAGCACCGUCUCCAUCCCUGUGACGUCACCGUACAGCACUGCAGUACAUCUCGGCCUACUUCCAUCUCCGGCCAGCGGCGUGUUUUCGCCGCCACUACAGGGGAGUACCUAUCCCUGCAGAAGUGACUUCAGACAAAGUUAUACUCACGACCCACAAAUCAAAUCUUUGUGUGCCUCCGGCUGUGGUUCUUUUUUCCAUUAUACAUUUUUUUUAAAAGGUA
This is a long non-coding RNA of Helicoverpa zea (corn earworm), 1123 nucleotides long. RefSeq lists it as uncharacterized. NCBI's taxonomy places the organism in Eukaryota, Metazoa, Arthropoda, Insecta, Lepidoptera, Noctuidae. The transcript has 2 exons. The record is from RefSeq and is a predicted model, not a curated record.